AGAGUUUGAUCCUGGCUCAGGACAAACGCUGGCGGCGUGCAUUAGGCAUGUAAGUCGCACGGAUCGCCUUCGGGUGGUCAGUGGCAGACGGCUGAGGAAGACGGACGAAACCUACCCUUCGGAGGGGGAUAACUCCGCGAAAGCGGGGCUAAGACCGCGUACGCUCGCUGGGGGGAGAACCCAGCGAGGAAAACGGCGACGUGCCGAGGGAGGGGCGUCCGGCCCAUCAGGUAGUUGGCGGGGUAAGAGCCCACCAAGCCGAUGACGGGUCGCUGGUCUGAGAGGAUGACCAGCCAGACUGGGACUGAGACACGGCCCAGACUCCUACGGGAGGCAGCAGCUAGGAAUCUUGCGCAAUGGGCGAAAGCCUGACGCAGCGACGCCGCGUGGGGGACGACGGUCUUCGGAUUGUAAACCCCUUUUGGGUGGGACGAGGAAGGACGUACCACCUAAAGAAGCCCCU
This 463-nucleotide ribosomal RNA is filed under the name uncultured soil bacterium. RNAcentral's name for it is "bacterial SSU rRNA". It matches the Rfam family "Bacterial small subunit ribosomal RNA", at positions 8 to 495 of the family's 1533-position model. The record is from RNAcentral.